RNAcentral lists this ribosomal RNA (491 nucleotides) under Chelopistes meleagridis. Its description in RNAcentral is "bacterial SSU rRNA". It matches the Rfam family "Eukaryotic small subunit ribosomal RNA", at positions 35 to 503 of the family's 1831-position model. The record is from RNAcentral. Lineage: Eukaryota; Metazoa; Arthropoda; Insecta; Psocodea; Philopteridae.
UCUCAAAGAUUAAGCCAUGCAUGUCUCAGUGCAAGCCGAAUUAAGGUGAAACCGCGAAAGGCUCAUUAAAUCAGCUAUGGUUCCUUAGAUGGUACGUACAGUUACUUGGAUAACUGUGGCAAUUCUAGAGCUAAUACAUGCAAACAGAGUUCCGACCGCUUCGCAGGCGGAAGGAAUGCUUUUAUUAGAUCAAAACCAAUCGGACUCCUCCGCGGGUCCGUCACGCCUUGGUGACUCUGAAUAACUUUGAGCUGAUCGCACGGUCUCGCACCGGCGACGCAUCUUUCAAAUGUCUGACUUAUCAACUUUCGAUGGUAGGCUCUGCGCCUACCAUGGUCGUAACGGGUAACGGGGAAUCAGGGUUCGAUUCCGGAGAGGGAGCCUGAGAAACGGCUACCACAUCCAAGGAAGGCAGCAGGCGCGCAAAUUACCCACUCCCGGCACGGGGAGGUAGUGACGAAAAAUAACGAUGCAGAACUCUUUCCGAGGCU